RNAcentral lists this long non-coding RNA (750 nucleotides) under Astyanax mexicanus (Mexican tetra). Its description in RNAcentral is "lncRNA (ENSAMXG00005025122.1)". Lineage: Eukaryota; Metazoa; Chordata; Actinopteri; Characiformes; Acestrorhamphidae. The record is from RNAcentral.
GUUUUGUCAUCCACCUGCUUCAAAGCUGUAAAACCAGCCGCAGCAAAGGCAAACCUACCCAGCUCCAAAAUCCAAACAAAGAAAUCUUAGUGGGCUGUUUACAUAUCAGUGGAGGGAUAUAUGGGCUUGUGCUGAUGUGGUGCCAGAAUGGUUGAAAGAUUUCAGUCCCUGCACAACGGCAGCAGCAGCAGCAGCCAUGGCCAGCCGGUCACUGGGACAGACAGCGCUGCACAGCCAGCUGAUGGAGAGUUAACCGGUUGGAAGGGAUCCAGUGGGGCUCAGACAGGUAGGAGCUGUGCCAAACCCAUCCCGCCCCAUCCAUCCUGCCUGCUGACAUCCAGCGCCUGUUAGCUCCUAUUAAAGCUCUUUCUCUUCCUAGCCCAAAUUGAGCAAAUUUGAUUUGGCCUCUGUGAAGCAGGCUUCACCACAUAGAAACUAAUUACUCUGAUGGAAAAGUGGCAUUCAAGGUACAGCUGGUUACGUGAAGGGAGGACGACAUGCUUACAGGUGGAAGGAGGGUGCGCUCAGUGGCAAUGGUGUGGUCUAUUCUCUCCUUGUACGUGAAAUUUGGCCCGGCUACUUAGAGAUGGUGCAAUAAUGGAUUCCUUAUCAAAUUUACCAGUUUUUUAGAUUACAUUAUUUUUUUUUUCUUGUUCACAUUCUACACCAGGGAUGACAAACGUAAUUACAAAAAGGGUGAGAUAAAAAAAAAAAGAAAAAACUUAACAAUAAACCAGGAGCCAGAGGACA